RNAcentral lists this ribosomal RNA (253 nucleotides) under uncultured prokaryote. RNAcentral describes it as "partial 16S ribosomal RNA". It matches the Rfam family "Bacterial small subunit ribosomal RNA", at positions 524 to 776 of the family's 1533-position model. The record is from RNAcentral.
UACAGAGGGUGCGAGCGUUGUUCGGAAUUAUUGGGCGUAAAGGGCGCGUAGGCGGUGUUGUAAGUCACCUGUGAAACCUCUGGGCUUAACUCAGAGCCUGCAGGCGAAACUGCAAUGCUGGAGGGUGGGAGAGGGUGAUGGAAUUUCCGGUGUAGCGGUGAAAUGCGUAGAGAUCGGAAGGAACGUCAAUGGCGAAGGCAGUCACCUGGCAACAUACUGACGCUGAGCCACGAAAGCGUGGGUAGCGAACAGG